AGGACGAACGCUGGCGGCGUGCUUAACACAUGCAAGUCGAACGGAAAGGCCCUUCGGGUACUCGAGUGGCGAACGGGUGAGUAACACGUGGGUGAUCUGCCCUGCACUUCGGGAUAAGCUUGGGAAACUGGGUCUAAUACCGGAUAGGACUACGAAUCGCAUGGUUUGUGGUGGAAAGCUUUUGCGGUGUGGGAUGGGCCCGCGGCCUAUCAGCUUGUUGGUGGGUGAUGGCCUACCAAGGCGACGACGGGUA
Molecule: ribosomal RNA, 253 nt
Filed under: uncultured bacterium
Lineage: Bacteria
Description: partial small subunit ribosomal RNA
Rfam family: Bacterial small subunit ribosomal RNA
Source: RNAcentral